AAUGUAGGCAAGGGAAGUC
This 19-nucleotide small nuclear RNA is filed under the name Arabidopsis thaliana (thale cress). RNAcentral describes it as "snRNA_15321". The record is from RNAcentral. Lineage: Eukaryota; Viridiplantae; Streptophyta; Magnoliopsida; Brassicales; Brassicaceae.